This 302-nucleotide small RNA is filed under the name Bos taurus (domestic cattle). Lineage: Eukaryota; Metazoa; Chordata; Mammalia; Artiodactyla; Bovidae. The record is from RNAcentral.
CCUGGAGCGGAAUUCGUGAGACCUGUAAUCACACAGUGGACUCAGACUGAACCUGAAAAAAUAAAUCCUUGGAUACAAUCUGUAACGGACACAAUCAUACGCUGGACUCAGGCUGAAUCUCCAGUGGUAAAUUCCUGGGCAGAGGCUGUUGCAGAUACAGCAAUACCAUUGAAUCAGAUUGAAUAUCCUUCAGUAAAUCCCUGGGCAACACUUGCAACUGAUACUGUUACACUCUGGACCCAGGCAAAUUCUUCUGUCAUCAAUCUUUUGACACAGUCCAUCAUGGUCUCACGAAUUCCGCU